CUACGGGAUGCAGCAGUGAGGAAUAUUGCACAAUGGGGGGAACCCUGAUGCAGUAACGCCGCGUGGAGGAUGACGCAUUUCGGUGUGUAAACUCCUUUUAUAUGUCAAGAAAAUGACGGUAGCAUAUGAAUAAGCACCGGCUAACUCCGUGCCAGCAGCCGCGGUAAUACGGAGGGUGCAAGCGUUACUCGGAAUCACUGGGCGUAAAGGACGCGUAGGCGGGUUGGAAAGUCAGGUGUGAAAUCCUACAGCUUAACUGUAGAACUGCACUUGAAACUUCUAAUCUAGAGUAUGGGAGGGGAGAUGGAAUUUGUGGUGUAGGGGUAAAAUCCGUAGAUAUCACUAGGAAUACCUAAAGCGAAGGCGAUCUCCUGGAACAUUACUGACGCUAAGGCGUGAAAGCGUGGGGAGCAAACAGGAUUAGAUACCCCUGUAGUC
RNAcentral lists this ribosomal RNA (438 nucleotides) under uncultured bacterium. RNAcentral describes it as "partial 16S ribosomal RNA". It matches the Rfam family "Bacterial small subunit ribosomal RNA", at positions 339 to 795 of the family's 1533-position model. The record is from RNAcentral.